AGAGAAUGUCAGUGGUCAUCAGAAGGCUUUGUUGGCUGUCAGAGGGCUCCACUGAUCAUGAGAGAUCUUCACUGACCAUCAGAGGGCUUCAUUAAUCAACAGAGGGUGUCAUCGGUCAUCAGAGAGGAGAUUUGAGCCCCUCUUGAGCUACUGAAGGCCGCUCUUAGGUCUCCCCGGAUCCUUCUCCAGGCUGCCAAGUUCAAUGCAUACCAAGAAAUGCUUCAUGGAGACAAAACAGUGGAACUAUAAAGACUAGAAUGUCUUUAACCUCAACAGAAUAAUUUUCAAAAGUCAAAUGGGCUCUGUUAUAGAAGCUAGUUACGUGAUAGCAAAUCUGACGGCAGGAAAAUCCAAACCAUUUCCCGAUGGUGACUCUGUUAAGCAGUGUAUGGAAAACACAACAGGCAUAAUGUGUCCUGAUUUAAAACACAAAAACCAGGUGUCUUCUGCAUCUUCUAAGGGUUCGUAAGGAAAGAUGCUGGGUUGACAGUAUUGGCUUCUACAUCAUCCUGCUCUAGUGCAACUGCUACUGUUCUUCCCAAUUUAUUCCUCUCCUUACAAUCCCUGUUUCCGUAUACUCUGCAAGCCCCCUCUAUUAAUUUGCCCAGGUCCCUUAGCUUCCCAGGUACCUCACCCGUUCCUUGAAUCUGUAGAAAAUAAAGCCAUCCUUGCCCUGACUAGCAAAAGACCUUGGGAGGUGUAAACAAGUUCAGCAGACGUGGAGGGACAGAGUUUCCUCUUUCAGAAAAGCUGAAAGAUUGUAACUAUUCAUGUCAGACAGACCCUCUCA
RNAcentral lists this long non-coding RNA (790 nucleotides) under Gallus gallus (chicken). Lineage: Eukaryota; Metazoa; Chordata; Aves; Galliformes; Phasianidae. The record is from RNAcentral.